CCUACGGAGUGCAGCAGUGAGGAAUAUUGGUCAAUGGACGCAAGUCUGAACCAGCCAUGCCGCGUGCAGGAAGACGGCUCUAUGAGUUGUAAACUGCUUUUGUACGAGGGUAAAUCCCGAUACGUGUAUCGUGUUGAAAGUAUCGUACGAAUAAGGAUCGGCUAACUCCGUGCCAGCAGCCGCGGUAAUACGGAGGAUUCAAGCGUUAUCCGGAUUUAUUGGGUUUAAAUGGUGCGUAGGCGGUUCGAUAAGUUAGAGGUGAAAUCCCGGGGCUCAACUCCGGCACUGCCUCUGAUACUGUCGGGCUAGAGUUUAGUUGCGGUAGGCGGAAUGUAUGGUGUAGCGGUGAAAUGCAUAGAGAUCAUACAGAACACCGAUUGCGAAGGCAGCUUACCAAACUACGACUGACGUUGAGGCACGAAAGCGUGGGGAGCAAACAGGAUUAGAUACCCCAGUAGUC
Molecule: ribosomal RNA, 460 nt
Filed under: uncultured bacterium
Lineage: Bacteria
Description: partial 16S ribosomal RNA
Rfam family: Bacterial small subunit ribosomal RNA
Source: RNAcentral